GACGAACGCUGGCGGCGUGCUUAACACAUGCAAGUCGAACGGUGAACGAGGGAGCUUGCUCCCUCCGGAUCAGUGGCGAACGGGUGAGUAACACGUGAGCAAUCUGCCCCGAACUCUGGGAUAAGCGUUGGAAACGACGUCUAAUACCGGAUACGACGCGGGAGGGCAUCCUCUCCGCGUGGAAAGAACUUCGGUUCGGGCUGAGCUCGCGGCCUAUCAGCUUGUUGGUGAGGUAACGGCUCACCAAGGCGACGACGGGUAGCCGGCCUGAGAGGGUGACCGGCCACACUGGGACUGAGACACGGCCCAGACUCCUACGGGAGGCAGCAGUGGGGAAUAUUGCACAAUGGGCGCAAGCCUGAUGCAGCAACGCCGCGUGAGGGACGACGGCCUUCGGGUUGUAAACCUCUUUUAGCAGGGAAGAAGCGAAAGUGACGGUACCUGCAGAAAAAGCACCGGCUAACUACGUG
Molecule: ribosomal RNA, 470 nt
Filed under: uncultured bacterium
Lineage: Bacteria
Description: partial 16S ribosomal RNA
Rfam family: Bacterial small subunit ribosomal RNA
Source: RNAcentral